UCCGCUCUUUUGGUGAUCGCCCUUAGGAUUUAUCCUUCGGGAGGAACGUCCGGGCACCGCUGGAACACUAUGCGGCUAACAGCCGUCACAUGCGUCAUAAUUCAUAAAACGUAUGAGGACUAGUGCCACAGAGACGAGUCCCGCUCACGCGGGAAGUGAAACGCCUCGGAGUACCGAGGAUUCGACUUCUGCCUUGCAGAAGACCAAUCGGUAAACUCAUGGUGGUGUAAGGAGGAUUUGGGUGCAUAGAACCUGUGUUGGUUCCGACAUACUAUGUACUCCUCCGCAUCGAGGUCGCGCAGCAACGCCGGCCCCAGAUAGAUGAUCACCCCUAGACAGAACCCGGCGUACAGGAGAGCGGAUCAA
RNAcentral lists this RNase P RNA (366 nucleotides) under Candidatus Peribacteraceae bacterium. RNAcentral's name for it is "RNase P RNA component class A". It matches the Rfam family "Bacterial RNase P class A". Rfam says of the family: Ribonuclease P (RNase P) is a ubiquitous endoribonuclease, found in archaea, bacteria and eukarya as well as chloroplasts and mitochondria. Its best characterised activity is the generation of mature 5'-ends of tRNAs by cleaving the 5'-leader elements of precursor-tRNAs. Cellular RNase Ps are ribonucleoproteins. The record is from RNAcentral. Lineage: Bacteria; Candidatus Peregrinibacteriota; Candidatus Peribacteria; Candidatus Peribacterales.